RNAcentral lists this unclassified non-coding RNA (413 nucleotides) under Hevea brasiliensis (rubber tree). The record is from RNAcentral. Lineage: Eukaryota; Viridiplantae; Streptophyta; Magnoliopsida; Malpighiales; Euphorbiaceae.
AAACCUGAAGGUUACUCACCGUUUGCAAAGAGUGAGAAUCGCGUAGGCGUUUAGUGUAAAUUACAAUUUAACUUUUGAGAUUUAGUAAAAUCUAUAUAUUAAUUUUUCACUACACCACAUUUAUUGUAUUGGGACAUAUAAUUUUAUCUAAAAAAUUAAAUUAUUUGUCUUUGUAUCUUUUUAGAGAAAUAUAAAUAUUUAUCUCAUUUACUAUUUUUCUUAAAUAUAAUUAAAGACAAAUACAAAUACAAAUUUGUAUUCGGCAUUAAUUAAACUUUUAAAAAUAAAUAUAUUUAUCUAUAAAAAUUAGCCAUAAAGAUAACAAAUUUGUUCUCUUUGUUCUCUUUACACUUAUAUAGCUAGGUCACCACUUAAAACCCUUGCCACAUGUCACCUUCUGAUUGGUUCUAGGU